AGUAACACGUGACUAACCUAACCUGGGAGUUGGGGGAUAACUGAGGGAAACUUAGCUAAUAACGCAUAAUACCUAUGGGUCAAAGGAGCAAUUCGCUUCAGGAGGGGGUCGCGGCCGAUUAGUUAGUUGGCGGGGUAAUGGCCCACCAAGACGAUGAUCGGUAUCCGGCCUGAGAGGGCGCACGGACACACUGGAACUGAAACACGGUCCAGACUCCUACGGGAGGCAGCAGUGGGGAAUUUUGCGCAAUGGGGGAAACCCUGACGCAGCAACGCCGCGUGGAGGAUGAAGUACUUCGGUACGUAAACUCCUUUCGAUCGGGACGAUAAUGACGGUACCGGAAGAAGAAGCCCCGGCUAACUUCGUGCCAGCAGCCGCGGUAAUACGAGGGGGGCAAAGCGUUGUUCGGAAUUAUUGGGCGUAAAGGGUGCGUAGGCGGAUUGGUAAGUCUUUUGUGAAAUCUAUGGGACUCAACUCAUAGACUGGAAGGGAAACUGCCG
This 500-nucleotide ribosomal RNA is filed under the name uncultured bacterium. RNAcentral describes it as "bacterial SSU rRNA". It matches the Rfam family "Bacterial small subunit ribosomal RNA", at positions 109 to 638 of the family's 1533-position model. The record is from RNAcentral.